AACGAACGCUGGCGGCAUGCCUAACACAUGCAAGUCGAACGAGACCUUCGGGUCUAGUGGCGCACGGGCGCGUAACGCGUGGGAACCUGCCCUUAGGUUCGGAAUAACUCCCCGAAAGGGGUGCUAAUACCGGACAAUGUCUUCGGACCAAAGAUUUAUCGCCUUUGGAUGGGCCCGCGUUGGAUUAGCUAGUUGGUAGGGUAAAAGCCUACCAAGGCGACGAUCCAUAGCUGGUCUGAGAGGAUGAUCAGCCACACUGGGACUGAGACACGGCCCAGACUCCUACGGGAGGCAGCAGUGGGGAAUAUUGGACAAUGGGCGAAAGCCUGAUCCAGCAAUGCCGCGUGAGUGAUGAAGGCCUUAGGGUUGUAAAGCUCUUUUACCCGGGAUGAUAAUGACAGUACCGGGAGAAUAAGCUCCGGCUAACUCCGUG
RNAcentral lists this ribosomal RNA (433 nucleotides) under uncultured bacterium. Its description in RNAcentral is "partial 16S ribosomal RNA". It matches the Rfam family "Bacterial small subunit ribosomal RNA", at positions 29 to 507 of the family's 1533-position model. The record is from RNAcentral.